GGGCAGUGUCUGAUGGAGGGAGGUAGCGAGUUCCAAAGGGUAGGGGCAGCUGUGGAGAAUGCCCGAUUCCCCCAAGUUCGGUGCUUGGGUCGUGACAGUGGGGUGAGAAGAUGGGCAGAGGAGGAACGGAGGUUACGGGGGGGUACAUGAGGCUGGAGUAGGUCGGUGAGAUAAGAAGGGGCUUGAUGAUGAAGGGCUUUGUGGGUGAGAAGGAGGAUCUUGAACAUGAUGCGUUGCUUGAUGGGGAGCCAGUGUAGACGGAGGAGGAUGGGGGUGAUGUGAUCUCGUGAACGGGUGUGGGUAAGGAGGCGGGCGGCAGAAUUCUGGACUAUCUGUAAUUUAUUGAGGAGUUUAGAGGGUAGACCGUACAGGAGGCUGUUGCAGUAAUCUAACCUUGAGGUGAUGAAGGCGUGGACCAGGGUUUCUGCUGCGGGGAGGGAGAGAGAUGGGCGAAUACGGGCAAUGUUUUUGAGGUGAAAAAAGGCUGAUUUAGUGACCUGUUUGAUGUGUUGUUCGAAAGUGAGGUGGGUAUCAAAGAUGAGUCCAAGGUUGCGGAUGGAGGAGGAAGGAGACAGGGGUGAGUUAUCAACUGUGAUGGAGAAGGGGGGGGUGGAUUGGGUGAUGGAUUUGGGGCCAAUGAUUAUCAUGUCGGAUUUGUCACAGUUCAGUAGAAGGUAGUUGUUAGUCAUCCAGGUCUUUAUUUCGGAGAGGCAGGUUGAGAGGGUGGAGAGGGUGCAUGGGGUGAUGGAUUCAGUGGAAAUGUAAAGUUGGACAUCGUCAGCAUAACAGUGAAAUUGGAGGCCGUGACGACGGAUGAUAUGUCCAAGAGGGAGGAUGUAAAUAAUGAACAGGAGGGGGCCAAGCACCGAACCUUGGGGGACACCUUGGGUCAGGGGAGCAGUGGUGGAGGAGUUGCUGUUUAUGUUAAUGAAUUGUUGACGGUUUGUGAGGUAUGACUUAAACCAGGAGAGGGCAGUGCCAGUUAUGUAGAUUGAGUCAUGAAGACGGGAAAGGAGGAUGGAGUGGUGGAUGGUGUCAAAAGCAGCGGUGAGGUCCAGGAGAAUCAUGAUGCUAAUGUGGCCGGAGUCAGCGCUGAGGAGGAGGUCAUUGCAAAUCUUGAGGAGGGCUGUUUCUGUACUAUGUUUGGGAAGGAAACCGGAUUGGAAGACUUCAAAGAGGCUGUUGGAGUUGAGGUGGGUCUGAAGCUGAGAGGCGACGGCACGUUCUAAUAUUUUAGAAAGCAGAGGAAGGUUGGAAAUUG
This is a non-coding RNA of Xyrichtys novacula (pearly razorfish), 1261 nucleotides long. NCBI's taxonomy places the organism in Eukaryota, Metazoa, Chordata, Actinopteri, Labriformes, Labridae. The record is from the annotation of a GenBank genome assembly.